RNAcentral lists this ribosomal RNA (508 nucleotides) under uncultured bacterium. RNAcentral describes it as "partial 16S ribosomal RNA". It matches the Rfam family "Bacterial small subunit ribosomal RNA", at positions 30 to 523 of the family's 1533-position model. The record is from RNAcentral.
AUUGAACGCUGGCGGCAGGCCUAACACAUGCAAGUCGAGCGGCAGCGGGAAAGUAGCUUGCUACUUUUGCCGGCGAGCGGCGGACGGGUGAGUAAUGCCUGGGAAAUUGCCCAGUCGAGGGGGAUAACAGUUGGAAACGACUGCUAAUACCGCAUACGCCCUACGGGGGAAAGCAGGGGACCUUCGGGCCUUGCGCGAUUGGAUAUGCCCAGGUGGGAUUAGCUAGUUGGUGAGGUAAUGGCUCACCAAGGCGACGAUCCCUAGCUGGUCUGAGAGGAUGAUCGGCCACACUGGAACUGAGACACGGUCCAGACUCCUACGGGAGGCAGAAGUGGGGAAUAUUCCACAAUGGGGGAAAGCCUGAUGCAGCCAUGCCGCGUGUGUGAAGAAGGCCUUCGGGUUGUAAAGCACUUUCAGCGAGGAGGAAAGGUUGAUGCCUAAUACGUAUCAACUGUGACGUUACUCGCAGAAGAAGCACCGGCUAACUCCGUGCCAGCAGCCGCCGUAA